RNAcentral lists this ribosomal RNA (606 nucleotides) under Triticum aestivum (bread wheat). RNAcentral describes it as "partial small subunit ribosomal RNA". The record is from RNAcentral. Lineage: Eukaryota; Viridiplantae; Streptophyta; Magnoliopsida; Poales; Poaceae.
CUCGCCGCGAACGGUCUGUUCGGCUACGUCGCCGGCACUGAGCAAGCGCCGCCGCACACCAUCACAGAGGGCACCGGGGAUGCAGCCGUCGAGGUGGCCAACCCGGAGUUCCUUCGCUGGUACCAGCAGGAUCAGCUUGUCAUGAUCACUCUCCUCGGAUCCAUGACCGAGGACAUCCUCGGUCAGAUGACGCAACUGACCACCUCCGCCGCUCUUUGGACUGCACUCCACAACAUGUUUGCGUCGCAAAACCGUGCCCGCAUCAUGCAGCUAAGGUACCAGCUCUCGAAUCUGAAGAAGAAGGACCUAUCUGCCUCGGACUACUAUCGCAAGAUGAACGGGUUCGCCGAUGCGAUGGCGUCCAUUGGCAAGCCCCUUUCUGACGACGAAGUGCUCGGCUACAUGUUGGCUAGGCUGGGCUCCGAGUUCGAGCAACUGGUCGCGUCGAUCAUGACGCGCGACGACCCUGUAAGUCUCAACAGUUUUUAUGCAUUCCUCCUUAGUGCUGAGCUCCGCCUCGAGCAGCAAGCCUCGCAUGGCGAGAUACAUCCUUCUGCCAACAUUGCUGCACGUAGUCCUGAUGGUCACCGUGGUGGACAUGAUGGA